This 492-nucleotide ribosomal RNA is filed under the name uncultured bacterium. RNAcentral's name for it is "partial 16S ribosomal RNA". It matches the Rfam family "Bacterial small subunit ribosomal RNA", at positions 30 to 507 of the family's 1533-position model. The record is from RNAcentral.
AUUGAACGCUGGCGGCAUGCUUUACACAUGCAAGUCGAACGGUAACAGGCCUUCGGGUGCUGACGAGUGGCGCACGGGUGAGUAAUGCAUCGGAACGUGCCCAGAGGUUGGGGAUAACGCAGCGAAAGCUGUGCUAAUACCGCAUGUGAUCUGAGGAUGAAAGCGGGGGACCAGGCAGCAAUGUUUGGCCUCGCGCCUUUGGAGCGGCCGAUGUCAGAUUAGGUAGUUGGUGGGGUAAAGGCCUACCAAGCCGACGAUCUGUAGCUGGUCUGAGAGGACGACCAGCCACACUGGGACUGAGACACGGCCCAGACUCCUACGGGAGGCAGCAGUGGGGAAUUUUGGACAAUGGGCGCAAGCCUGAUCCAGCAAUGCCGCGUGCGGGAAGAAGGCCUUCGGGUUGUAAAACGCUUUUGUACGGAACGAAAAGGCUCUGGCUAAUACCUGGGGAUGAUGACGGUACCGUAAGAAUAAGCACCGGCUAACUACGUG